Hibiscus syriacus is the source of this 217-nucleotide long non-coding RNA. RefSeq lists it as uncharacterized. The record is from RefSeq and is a predicted model, not a curated record. NCBI's taxonomy places the organism in Eukaryota, Viridiplantae, Streptophyta, Magnoliopsida, Malvales, Malvaceae. The transcript is spliced from 3 exons.
GGAAAAAGACGAGUCUAUGUUAUCCAAAAAAAGAAAUGAAAUUCAAUGACUGAUAAAUAAGUUCCUCCCCCUUUACCCCCAUUUCUCCAUUUGUUAAUGUUUCCUAGACAAAAUAGAAAAAAAAAGUUUACUUCAUAGUACCUCUUGUAUUGGAAAAUAAAUGGUUAUUGUGAUGCCUAUUUAUUGAAUUUAUAUGUUGUGCUGUAUCUUGGUUUCC